GUCAGGAUGGCCGAGUGGUCUAAGGCGCCAGACUCAAGGUGUGUACCUUGCCUAUGGGUGUUCUGGUCUCCAGAUGGAGGCGUGGGUUCGAAUCCCACUUCUGACA
Non-coding RNA from Sus scrofa (pig), 106 nucleotides. The record is from Rfam. Lineage: Eukaryota; Metazoa; Chordata; Mammalia; Artiodactyla; Suidae.